ACGAACGCUGGCGGCGUGCUUAACACAUGCAAGUCGAACGGAAAGGCCCUGCUUUUGUGGGGUGCUCGAGUGGCGAACGGGUGAGUAACACGUGAGUAACCUGCCCUUGACUUUGGGAUAACUUCAGGAAACUGGGGCUAAUACCGGAUAGGAGCUCCUGCUGCAUGGUGGGGGUUGGAAAGUUUCGGCGGUUGUGGAUGGACUCGCGGCUUAUCAGCUUGUUGGUGGGGUAGUGGCUUACCAAGGCUUUGACGGGUAGCCGGCCUGAGAGGGUGACCGGCCACAUUGGGACUGAGAUACGGCCCAGACUCCUACGGGAGGCAGCAGUGGGGAAUAUUGCACAAUGGGCGGAAGCCUGAUGCAGCAACGCCGCGUGCGGGAUGACGGCCUUCGGGUUGUAAACCGCUUUCGCCUGUGACGAAGCGUGAGUGACGGUAAUGGGUAAAGAAGCACCGGCUAACUACGUG
Molecule: ribosomal RNA, 467 nt
Filed under: uncultured bacterium
Lineage: Bacteria
Description: partial 16S ribosomal RNA
Rfam family: Bacterial small subunit ribosomal RNA
Source: RNAcentral